GAUCAUGGCUCAGGAUGAACGCUAGCUACAGGCUUAACACAUGCAAGUCGAGGGGCAGCAUGGUCUUAGCUUGCUAAGACUGAUGGCGACCGGCGCACGGGUGAGUAACACGUAUCCAACCUGCCGUCUACUCUUGGACAGCCUUCUGAAAGGAAGAUUAAUACAAGAUGGCAUCAUGAGUCCGCAUGUUCAUAUGAUUAAGGNUUCCGGUAGACGA
Molecule: ribosomal RNA, 217 nt
Filed under: uncultured bacterium
Lineage: Bacteria
Description: partial 16S ribosomal RNA
Rfam family: Bacterial small subunit ribosomal RNA
Source: RNAcentral